This 302-nucleotide long non-coding RNA is filed under the name Pan troglodytes (chimpanzee). Its description in RNAcentral is "lincRNA". Lineage: Eukaryota; Metazoa; Chordata; Mammalia; Primates; Hominidae. The record is from RNAcentral.
CCGUUACAGAGCUUCUAAAAGAAUCAAAGUAUAAAAUAUAUGUGGUUGUAAAAAAGUGCCUUGUAAAUUUUAAAGCACUAGAGAGAUGAGGCCACCCAUUUUGGCUUCCACUAACCCGGAGGAACCUGGAGCAAGGAAACCAAAGGAAGUAUUCAGGAAGCUUCAGAUUUGACUGCUGGCAUUAUAGGCAAGAAUUACACACACGACUUACUGUUCACUAUUGAUGAGAACUCGUGUUCUCAUUUCGGGCAAUGUUUAGAAUGAAGCUCCAUUAAACAUGCUUGCUCCGAGGAAUAUCCUUA